GGGGUGCUCGAGUGGCGAACGGGUGAGUAACACGUGAGUAACCUGCCCUUGACUUUGGGAUAACUUCAGGAAACUGGGGCUAAUACCGGAUAGGAGCUCCUGCUGCACGGUGGGGGUUGGAAAGUUUCGGCGGUUGGGGAUGGACUCGCGGCUUAUCAGCUUGUUGGUGGGGUAGUGGCCUACCAAGGCGGCGACGGGUAGCCGGCCUGAGAGGGUGUACGGCCACAUUGGGACUGAGAUACGGCCCAG
RNAcentral lists this ribosomal RNA (249 nucleotides) under uncultured Actinomycetales bacterium. RNAcentral's name for it is "partial 16S ribosomal RNA". It matches the Rfam family "Bacterial small subunit ribosomal RNA", at positions 84 to 334 of the family's 1533-position model. The record is from RNAcentral. Lineage: Bacteria; Bacillati; Actinomycetota; Actinomycetes; Actinomycetales.